GCCCUACGGGUAGAUCUCCACCCUAUGUUAUCGUACCUUGUUGCUUUGGCGGGCCGUCAGGCCUCGGUCAGACUACCGGCUCCGGCUGGUAAGUGCCCGCCAGAGGAUAUCAAACCUUGAAUUUAAUGUCGUCUGAGUACUAUAUAAUAGUUAAAACUUUCAACAACGGAUCUCUUGGUUCUGGCAUCGAUGAAGAACGCAGCGAAAUGCGAUAAGUAAUGUGAAUUGCAGAAUUCAGUGAAUCAUCGAAUCUUUGAACGCACAUUGCGCCCCUUGGUAUUCCGAGGGGCAUGCCUGUUCGAGCGUCAUUACAACCCUCAAGCCUAGCUUGGUAUUGGGCUCCGCUGCUCACACAGCGGGCCUUAAAAUCAGUGGCGGUGCCGUCGGGCUCCUGAGCGCAGUAAACAUCCUCGCUUUAGGGACCGGUGGACGCUUGUCAUCAAACCCAACUUUCUAAGUUUGACCUCGGAUCAGGUAGGGAUACCCGCUGAACUUAA
RNAcentral lists this ribosomal RNA (497 nucleotides) under uncultured fungus. RNAcentral describes it as "eukaryotic LSU rRNA". The stretch from base 155 to 308 matches the Rfam family "5.8S ribosomal RNA". Lineage: Eukaryota; Fungi. The record is from RNAcentral.